RNAcentral lists this long non-coding RNA (2809 nucleotides) under Equus caballus (horse). RNAcentral describes it as "lncRNA (ENSECAG00000057677.1)". The record is from RNAcentral. Lineage: Eukaryota; Metazoa; Chordata; Mammalia; Perissodactyla; Equidae.
GGCAGCCCCUCCUCACAGCAUGAGAGGGAGUUGGGAGGGGCGGCACCCCAAAAAGAAGGCGUGGGCGGAGCCUGGGCAGAUGGAACCCUAGUGUUUCAUUCAAUUCAAUAAAAACCUACUGGACAUCCCUCGGGCGCCAGGCCCUGAGUUUUCAUCCCGAGGAAAUGUCGCUCGCUAAACUCGACACCUGCACAGGAGCUGUAAUAUAAAGAAGCAUGAAGAACCUCGUGUGAAAUGAAACCUUGUUGGACACAUCAGUGCUCCAGCCUAGCCGCUCUGGGAGACGCGAUGAGAUGGUCAGGAGCUCGCAGCCCCACAGAACCAUCGUGAAGGUGACAGCCGCAGGUGGACAGGAAUGCGGAGCUCUGAGCCAGGACGCCACACCCCAACAGCGACACUGUCCAGAACGAUGAGGACGCUGCGCACCUGGUGGGAGGGGCUGAGCCCGGACGCUCACCCGAGGCUGUCUAACAUCCACCGAGUCUGCGCACGGCCUUCUCUCCUGUCGAUGAGAACUGGGCUGGCACCGGGGACCCAAAUACGAGAAGGGCACCUCUCAGGGGGACACCGACACCGGGAUGCUCCCUCCACAGCCUGGUGAGGAAAUGACAGAGGACGUGUGAAGUGCAGGGGACGUGCAGCCAAGGAGCGACCAUAGAGCGAGAGUUCCAGUGGUAGAGAAGGGGGACAAGCAAGCGGGAACAGCAUUCAGGCAGGGGGAACUGCAUGGAUAAAGGCAUAGAGGACUGGGGAGCUGGACACGCUCCUUGGGCGAGGCAGGGGGUGGCGGAGGGGCAUGGGCCUGGACCAGGAGACUGUGAUGUCAUUGCAAAGCAUCCAGGAGGCCCAGCGAAGCAGUGUGGUUUGGGCUGGGGAGGCAAUGGGGAGCCAUGAGAGGCUUUAGAGCCGGGCAGCUGCAUGAGGGCGUGGGUUGUAGAACAAUCCUGGGAGCCGGGAGGAGGAGGAGGCCCAGAGGGUGGAGAGACGAGCUGGGGACCAGGGAGGGGGUGUCUCAACAGCCCAGGGUUAACACGGCAGCUCCUUAAAGUCACAGAGGGGAAUGUCAGCGCUUCUCUCUGAGCCACCCUGCUAGGAAGAGGGGUCUCUGUGGACCGCACCCCCACUUGCUACGAGAGGACAGUGGGAGGGCACUCCCUCCACCCCUGCUCUCUGUGUGUGUGUGUUGGGGUGGGAGGGGAGAAGGACGGGAGCCUGGGUCCUUUCCGGAAGCUGGAGGCAGGGUGCCAGCGGCAGGUUCCUGAGCAAUUCCCAGGACCAGGGGAGGGGGCCCCAGACCUGAGCUCAGCAGCUCCAAGAUGCGCCGGCCCCGCAGUCCCCAGCCCGCCCCACCCUUCCCGAGGUCCUGCAAGCCCCCCAACCCCACGCCCCCGUCCCACCCCGCAGAGUCCUCCAGGGGCUCUCUGCCUCGGCAACAGAAGUGAGACGUCCCCAGUGGUGCGGUGACUUCCACCGUCUCCCUCAGUGCCCACAGUGGCCCUGGGAGAGGGGCACCCGCGCCACCCCUAUUUCACAGACGGGGAAACGGAAGCUGGGGGAGGCUGCCACUCACCCGAGGACGCAGAGCCAGGCAGAAAUCGCGUGCUGCGACAUGGACCGGCCCCACCACCCCAGCCCCGCGUGCAGGCAGGGCCCGCACAUCUGGACACCCCAGCCUCGGUGCCCCAUGCCAGCAGAGAGAGUGGCCGUGGGGCCUCCCCAGCAGGCGCCCGGCCCUGGAGCCUCCAGGAACCUCGCUCCCUAUCACAGUCAUGCACAGGGCCUGCCUCCCGCUCUCUGUCCCCUGGGGCAGGAAACAGCCCGGAGAGAGAUAAGGAGAAGAGAAGGAGGGGGGGCUCCGGGGAGAGGGCCCUCCCCACACACAGCAGAAGAAUAGAAGGAAACGGCUGGAGAGAGGCCAGCGUCUGCCCGGGGCAGGGGGUUAUCUUGGUCUAUAAAUAACCCCAGCUCCAGGCUCCCAGGACGGGGAGGGAAGGGACUGAGGCCGAGGGCCUGGACUCUGCGGUGGGCUUGGGGUGGGGGCGGCGGUCAUUCCUGUUGGCCAGGGAUUCAGACCAAAGGGCCAAAGGGGAUAAUGGCCCGACCUGGGACCCUAACCCUCACCUCCCGCUAGGGGGCUCUGACCCUGUACUUGACCAGGGGGUCCUGCAGCCCCCCGUUCCUCCCCCGUCCCCAUCCACUCACCUGUCCACCUACCCUUCCCGCCUCCCUCCCUGCCUCUGAGCUUCCCAUUUGCUGUUCCUUCUGUCUGCAACACUCUUCCUGCCCUCUUCACCUUGCUGACUCGCCCUCCAGGCCCCAGCCUAGGCGCACACUCUCCAGGAAGCCUUCUCGGACCCCCAGUCGGGGGUCAGGGUGGUAGCCGGUGGCGGCCGCAGCCCGGUCUUCCCUUCCCACAGCACUUAUCACAGUUACAUUUUCACACUCACGCCCCUCCCACCCCCGAGGGAGCUGAUGUUUCCACAGCGCCUAGGGCGACGCCUGGCACACAGUAGGGGCUCAAUAAAUUCGUUUGGUGUCUCCAUGUUCCAUCUGUCUUCCCUCUCUCCCCCCUCCUCCCCUCCUCCCUUCCUGAGUGCCGACCUCAGCCAGGCUGCUGUCGGUCCCUGCCCCUGAGGAUGGCUGAGCCUGGUGAGGGAGGAGAGAGGGGAGCGGAGGGGAGCAGGGCCAGGCCACAAAUCACACGACACAGGUGGAGAGAGAGACCCACCGACUCCUCGGACUUCAGACGACUGAGCUCUCUGUUCAGGGGGAGGGGGUGAGGAGGUAAUGAGGGUGGGCUUCAAGGAGG